Molecule: RNA transcript, 4205 nt
Organism: Arvicola amphibius (Eurasian water vole)
Lineage: Eukaryota; Metazoa; Chordata; Mammalia; Rodentia; Cricetidae
Gene: Ttyh2
Gene name: tweety family member 2
Exons: 14
Source: RefSeq, a predicted model, not a curated record
CAGAGCCUGGCGGUUGUAGCGGGUGGCACUUGCAGCGGACCGGCUGCAGCUUGUCCAAGCCAUGCCGGCGGCGCGCGUGGAGUACAUCGCGCCCUGGUGGGUUGUGUGGCUGCACAGCGUCCCGCACCUCGGCCUGCGCCUGCAGCGGGUGGACAGCACCUUCAGCCCCGGCGACGAGACUUACCAGGAGUCGCUGCUCUUCCUGGGGGUGGUAGCGGCCGUUGGCCUGGGCCUGAACCUCAUCUUCCUCGCUGUUUACCUGGUGUGCACAUGCUGCUGCCGGCGGGACCACACAGUGCAGACCAAGCAGUCUAACUCCUGCUGCGUCACCUGGACAGCUGUGGUGGCCGGGCUCCUCUGCUGUGCUGCGGUGGGUGUCGGUUUCUAUGGAAACAGUGAGACCAACGAUGGGGUGUACCAGCUGAUCUACUCCCUGGACAACGCGAAUCACACCUUCUCUGGAAUUGAUGAGCUGGUGUCUACAAACAUUCAGAAGAUGCAGGUGGACCUAGAACAGCACCUGGCUCCGCUCAGCGAGAUCUUUGCUGCCCGGGGUGACUACAUCCAGACCCUGAAGUUCAUACAGCAGAUGGCAGGCAAUAUCAUCAACCAGCUCUCGGGACUGCCCGUGUGGAGGGAGGUCACCACGCAGCUGACUGAGCUGUCCCACCAGACUGCAUAUGUGGAAUACUACAGGUGGCUCUCCUAUCUCCUUCUUUUCAUUUUGGACCUGGUCAUCUGCCUCGUCACCUGCCUGGGAUUGGCCAGGCGCUCCAAGUGUCUCCUAGCCUCCAUGCUGUGCUGUGGGGUGCUGACCCUGAUCCUCAGCUGGGCUUCUCUGGCUGCUGAUACGGCUGCGGCAGUGGGCACCAGUGACUUCUGCGUGGCUCCUGACGUCUACAUCUUGAACAACACACAGAGCCAGAUCAGUUCAGAGGUGACCCGCUACUACCUGCAUUGCAGUCAGAGCCUAAGCAGCCCCUUCCAGCAGUCGCUGACCGCCUUCCAGCGCUCGCUGACCACCAUGCAGAUCCAGGUCACAGGCCUGCUGCAGUUUGCCGUGCCCCUCUUCCCUACAGCAGAGAAAGACCUUCUUGGCAUCCAGAGUCUGCUAAACUCCUCUGAGACCAGCCUGCACCAGCUGACUGCCAUGUUGGAUUGCCGAGGGCUGCACAAGGACUACCUGGACGCCCUCACUGGUAUCUGCUAUGAUGGCAUUGAAGGCCUUCUGUUCCUUGGUCUCUUCUCCAUCCUGGCUGCCCUGGCUUUCUCCACCCUGACCUGUGCAGGAUCUCGAGCCUGGGAACACUUCAUCAACAGGGACAGAGACUAUGAUGACAUUGAUGACGACGACCCUUUCAACCCCCAAGCUCGGCGCAUCGCAGCCCACAACCCAAUGAGGGGGCAGCUGCACAGUUUCUGCAGCUACAGCAGCGGCCUUGGCAGCCAGUGCAGCCUUCAGCCUCCUACCCAGACCAUCUCCAAUGCCCCUGUCUCCGAGUACAUGAACCAGGCCAUACUCUUUGGUGGGAACCCACGAUACGAGAAUGUGCCACUCAUCGGGAGAGGUUCCCCUCCGCCCACAGUAAGUAUCCCUUCCGUGGCAAAGUCCCUAUCAGGGACAUAAUCAAAGAUAAAACCUGUCAACAAAGUGUGUGAUCCCCACAGAGAUAGAAAAGAAGGCGACAGCUUUGCUGUUAAAUAGGUAUUAAAGCAGGCUGCCUCACACAUGUCACGGGACAUCAGCUACCCAGGACAUAAAGACACAAAGCAAUCCCACCCUGUUAGAUGGUCUCCCGGGCAUGGCCCACUGCACAGCUAUCCUCAAGAUAAAUAGCCUCUGUCCUCAAUCAAGAGGACCAGCAAGAGCUUUUGUUCCACUGGCCCAUCAUAAAUCCACCCCUUAGUUAGAGUAACAUGCUUGGCUGAUCGUUGUUUUCACUCAGAAGGAAAAGCAAAUUUCUCAUACCAUGUGACAGUCAGGGGCCUCCAACUUGGAGCUCAGCACCUAAGCUGUCACUGGGGAGGGAGUGUCUUCUAUGAUAAUGGCCUUUACAGGGCCCUCAAGAAAGUGUUCCUAGGGCUAGGGAUGUGGAUCAGUUGGUAGAGCCCCUGCCUAGCAUGCAUGAGGCCUUGGAUUCAAACCCCAGCACCAUGAAAAACUGGAUGUGGUGAUUCAAGAAGUUCAAGGUCACAUAGAACAAGUUCAAGGCCAUCCUGAGACACAAGAGAUCCUACUUCAAAAGGAAAAAAACGAGAAAGGAAAAAAAAAACCAUUAUUCUAUUAUUCUUGUAAUGUAAGACCAAAAGGAAAUUUCUUCUGCUUUUAUUCAUUUAUUUAUUUGAUGUGCUUGGGGUUUUUGCCUGCACCACAUACAUGCACAUGCCUGGUACUUGUGGAGGCCAGAAGAGGGCAUGAGAUCCCCAGGGAUUGGAGUUACAGGUGAUUUUAAACCAUCAUGUGAGUGCUGGGAAUUGAACCUGGGUCCUCUGGAAGAGCAGUCAGUGCUCCUCACCACUGAGCCAUCUCUCCCACCCCCAUUCCACCUCUUAAAAAGGUUAAGGCUGAAUUAGCUCAGUGGUAGAACACUUGGUUAGCGUGUCAGAGGUUUGGACCUGAGGAGAAGCAUUACGGUAUUUUCACCGCCUCUACCACUUCCAACCAAGAAGCAGUACGAGGGCAGAGCCCAGGAUGUGCUGGGUGAAUGGGUAAGUGGAGAAAACACCACACUGUCUGUUCCCAGCAUAGCAUCCACAAAGCCCAGGGUUACUGUUAUGACAGAGAGCUGAAGGUAAGAGCAGUACAUGAACUCUGGUACCCAGGUGACUGGUUUAAAUCCCGGCUUCUACCUAUGGGCUAUGUCACCUCGGGCAUGGCCUUUCUGUGCCUCGGUUCCUUGCACCUCUCGUGGUUUAUGUAGUAGUGACCUAGAGGCUGCACCUUUAAAAUCCCAUCCUGCCGUCUGCUAGUCAGCUUUCUAGACCUUUCUUUCUCCCUCCAGCUGUCAGGCCACAGCGACACAGGCUGACUUUAUUAUUAAUCUAAGGCAAACAUGAUUUGGGAAGAUCUGCUGCUGGGGAAAAAGGAAUUAAUCGCUAUACUGCGAUUGUAAAUAAAAGGGAUUUCUGGGUUGCCUUCUGUUUGAGACAAUCAGGCCACUCGCCAUGUCCUCAACCGAGGUAAGCAACAGCUGACCUUAUUUGCAAGGCUGGAGGACAGAACAGCCCUCAUUGCCUUGGCAAAGGUGAUUACCAGCUGUCCCAUCUCAGCUAGCCCCAGUGGAAGAGUCCCACCCUCUGCCCCUGCUGGGGACAUCUGGAGAGAUGGGUACUGAUGCUGUUGUCCAUGGAAACCAGCAGGAUGAGGAUGUGGAACACAUCUCAGGGAACACAGUACAACUGGCUGCCCUCCACCCCAUGUACCAUCUCUGAACUCUCAGCCCAAGCUGUGAGGGGGAGAGGGUUCUGCCUACGCCUCCACCUCCCUCCGAAAGAGUCACCAGAGUGGGUGAGUGAGAGGAAGCAAGACCACCAACGACUCAGCCUGGAAAGUGUCUUCCCCUUAGUUCUAUCUCCACAGAAUCUCUCUUGUGUUUCCAGACCCUUUCCUAGACCCCAACAAAAAUAACUCAGGGCGAUUGUGAAGAUUCCUGAGUUUAAGAUCUUCACUGGCUUUAUCUUCAGUUCUAAGCUCUCCCAUCCCAUAAAACAGUGGUGUUCUUGUAAGACCUGAAAGGGGUGGUAUUGGGGCUGAGAACUAGAACUCGGGACCUCACACAUCCUCUGUCUCCCACUCAGCCCCAAGAGAUGGGCUUUACAGACAGCAAAGGACCAAGGAGAGCAGAAACAAGGAACGAAAUUCUGAUUGGUCUUUUCAAAGUUCUGUCUUGUAAAAGAGAUUCUUGUAGUCCUUACUGCUGGGUAAAGAUUAAAGCAGAGGGAACCUCAUGAUCGCCCCGCUUGAAACUGACCCAUUUCAAGAAAUCCGGCUGUUCUUACUCAUGUGGCACUUUAGCGAGAGUGAUUCCAUUUUGAUUUCAGUCUGGCCCAAUACAGGACUCGGGUUCGAUUCUUGGUCCAAAGCAGUGACUCCUUGUCAUUUUCUUAUAAUAAUAGUUGUAGGGUUUGUUUUUGUUGUUUUGUUUGGGGUUUUUUUAAAUUUGUUUGUUUGUUUGUUUUUGAUUUUUCGAGACAGGGUUUCUCUG